UUUCUUGAUUAGUGGCGCACGGGUGAGUAAUGCAUAGAUAAUGUGCCCCUUAGUUCGGGAUAGCCACUGGAAACGGUGAUUAAUACCGGAUACUCCUUCUUGUUAUAAGACAAGUCGGGAAAGUUUUUCGCUAAGGGAUCAGUCUAUGUUCCACCAGCUUGUUGGUGAGGUAAUGGCUCACCAAGGCUAUGACGGAUAUCUGGUUUGAGAGGAUGAUCAGACACACUGGAACUGAGACACGGUCCAGACUCCUACGGGAGGCAGCAGUGAGGAAUAUUGCACAAUGGAGGAAACUCUGAUGCAGCAACGCCGCGUGGAGGAUGACGCAUUUCGGUGUGUAAACUCCUUUUAUUAGGGAAGAUAAUGACGGUACCUAAUGAAUAAGCACCGGCUAACUCCGUGCCAGCAGCCGCGGUAAUACGGAGGGUGCAAGCGUUACUCGGAAUCACUGGGCGUAAAGGGUGCGUAGGCUAGCUUUUAAGUCAGAUGUGAAAUCCAAUGGCUCAACCAUCGAACUGCAUUUGAAACUGAAAGCCUAGAGUUCAGAAGGGGCAGAUGGAAUUAGUGGUGUAGGGGUAAAAUCCGUAGAUAUCACUAGGAAUAUCAAAAGCGAAGGCGAUCUGCUGGGAUGAU
This 633-nucleotide ribosomal RNA is filed under the name uncultured bacterium. RNAcentral describes it as "bacterial SSU rRNA". It matches the Rfam family "Bacterial small subunit ribosomal RNA", at positions 84 to 738 of the family's 1533-position model. The record is from RNAcentral.